AAAAAAGAUAGAGGUGCAAUUAUUAUAAGUAAAUUUACGGAGAAUGGUCAAUUUGAUGAAAUAAAUUGAAAGGAAUAAUUGCCGAAGUACAAAGUUUGACCAGCUUUGAUACUGGGGCUGUGGAGAAUAUCCGUAGAACUGUCAUUAUCACAAAGAUAAUGGGGAGCUGUCAGAUAU
Molecule: non-coding RNA, 177 nt
Organism: Leptotrichia sp. oral taxon 847
Lineage: Bacteria; Fusobacteriati; Fusobacteriota; Fusobacteriia; Fusobacteriales; Leptotrichiaceae
Source: Rfam